UGAGGAAGUAAAAGUCGUAACAAGGUCUCCGUAGGUGAACCUGCGGAGGGAUCAUUACAAGUGACCCCGGCUACGGCCGGGAUGUUCAUAACCCUUUGUUGUCCGACUCUGUUGCCUCCGGGGCGACCCUGCCUUCGGGCGGGGGCUCCGGGUGGACACUUCAAACUCUUGCGUAACUUUGCAGUCUGAGUAAACUUAAUUAAUAAAUUAAAACUUUUAACAACGGAUCUCUUGGUUCUGGCAUCGAUGAAGAACGCAGCGAAAUGCGAUAAGUAAUGUGAAUUGCAGAAUUCAGUGAAUCAUCGAAUCUUUGAACGCACAUUGCGCCCCCUGGUAUUCCGGGGGGCAUGCCUGUUCGAGCGUCAUUUCACCACUCAAGCCUCGCUUGGUAUUGGGCAACGCGGUCCGCCGCGUGCCUCAAAUCGUCCGGCUGGGUCUUCUGUCCCCUAAGCGUUGUGGAAACUAUUCGCUAAAGGGUGUUCGGGAGGCUACGCCGUAAAACAACCCCAUUUCUAAGGUUGACCUCGGAUCAGGUAGGGAUACCCGCUGAACUUAAGCAUAUCAAUAAGCGGAGGA
This 576-nucleotide ribosomal RNA is filed under the name Cladosporium sp. OTU069 AN-2016. RNAcentral describes it as "eukaryotic LSU rRNA". The stretch from base 212 to 365 matches the Rfam family "5.8S ribosomal RNA". The record is from RNAcentral. Lineage: Eukaryota; Fungi; Ascomycota; Dothideomycetes; Cladosporiales; Cladosporiaceae.